This 305-nucleotide unclassified non-coding RNA is filed under the name plant metagenome. RNAcentral's name for it is "partial contains 5.8S ribosomal RNA, internal transcribed spacer 2, and large subunit ribosomal RNA". The stretch from base 1 to 104 matches the Rfam family "5.8S ribosomal RNA", at positions 51 to 154 of the family's 154-position model. The record is from RNAcentral.
AAAUGCGAUAAGUAGUGUGAAUUGCAGAAUUCAGUGAAUCAUCGAAUCUUUGAACGCACAUUGCGCCCCUUGGUAUUCCAUGGGGCAUGCCUGUUCGAGCGUCAUCUACACCCUCAAGCUCUGCUUGGUGUUGGGCGUCUUUGUCCCGCCUCCGCGCGCGGACUCGCCCCAAAUUCAUUGGCAGCGGUCCUUGCCUCCUCUCGCGCAGCACAUUGCGCUUCUCGAGGUGUUGCGACCCGCGUCCAGAAAGCAAUCGUUACCGUCUUUGACCUCGGAUCAGGUAGGGAUACCCGCUGAACUUAAGC